This 625-nucleotide long non-coding RNA is filed under the name Fukomys damarensis (Damara mole-rat). RNAcentral describes it as "lncRNA (ENSFDAG00000031682.1)". The record is from RNAcentral. Lineage: Eukaryota; Metazoa; Chordata; Mammalia; Rodentia; Bathyergidae.
AUGGCAGCCCGCAGUCAAACUGUGUCUGUGCAUGAAUCAGAAAAUCAGCUCCUCCCAUGUCCAGUAAGUAAAUAUUUACAGGCUAUCAGCUCAGGGAAAUGCCAAAUUAUUGGCCUGCCCAAAAUGUUCAUAGCUUUUGAUCUGGCCCCAGAGGAUUACCUUAUUUUAAGAGACUCACAAAGCAGCUUUUACAGAGAGGACAAGAACUUUUCUGAGAAGUUCUUAGGAAUCUUAUCAUAAGAAUAUUUUAUCGUAACCUGCAAAGAGGACUCCAAGGGAUUGCUAUUUGGAGCAAAGAAAAAUUCAGGCACCGCUGAGCCCUGCUCACACUUCUGUCACCCCUGGUAAGUAACAACCCAUACUCAGAUCUGAAAUCAAUCCAUCUACUCUUCAGCCCUUGGAGUAGUUCCUGUGUCUGAGUUCUUUCUUGGUGGCCUCGGACCCUAGCACAGAGCACAAAUGAGGUACUCAGUAACUGUUCUGAAGGAACAUUUGCAUAAGUGAGAAAAUCUAGUCCCCUUCCCUCUUCUCAAUGUCCAAUCCUCCCAAAAGAAACUGGAACUCUAUCUGGCACAAUAUUGUGUAACAAUUCAAAAUGAAUACUUUGAAGAGAACUGUAAACAAG